This 43-nucleotide non-coding RNA is filed under the name Escherichia sp. TW11588. RNAcentral's name for it is "Escherichia albertii TW11588 ES036 (CssrF) sRNA". It matches the Rfam family "ES036 (CssrF) sRNA". Rfam says of the family: Differentially expressed under several chemical stress conditions. Lineage: Bacteria; Pseudomonadati; Pseudomonadota; Gammaproteobacteria; Enterobacterales; Enterobacteriaceae. The record is from Rfam by way of RNAcentral.
AAAAUUGUGCAAAUUCAAUAUAUUGCAGGAGAUUAGUAGGCCU